This 944-nucleotide ribosomal RNA is filed under the name uncultured archaeon. RNAcentral's name for it is "bacterial SSU rRNA". It matches the Rfam family "Archaeal small subunit ribosomal RNA", at positions 1 to 926 of the family's 1478-position model. The record is from RNAcentral.
UUCCGGUUGAUCCUGCCGGAUCCUACUGCUAUCGGGAUGAGACUAAAACAUGCUAGUUGUGCGCACCUUAGCUAUGUUGGGAGCGCAGCGAACGGCUCCGUAACACGUUGUCAAUCUAACCUUAGGACGGGAAUAACCCCGGGAAACUGGGGCUAAUACCUGAUAGGCGAAAAAGUCUGGAAUGACUUUUCACUUAAAGAGUUAUAGGAACAUGCUCCUUUAACUGCCUAAGGAUGAGACUGCGUCCGAUCAGGUUGUUGGUGGGGUGAUGGCCUACCAAGCCUAUAACCGGUACGGGCCCUGAGAGGGGGAGCCCGGAGAUGGGAACUGAGACAAGGUCCCAGACCCUAAGGGGUGCAGCAGUUGCGAAACCUCUACAAUACACGAAAGUGUGAUAGGGUUAUCCCGAGUGCCGUCCGAUGAGGAUGGCUUUUCCUUGGUGUAAGAAGCCGGGGGUAAUAAAGGGGGGGCAAGACUGGUGUCAGCCGCCGCGGUAAUACCAGCCCCCUGAGUGGUAGGGAUGAUUAUUUGGCCUAAAGCGUCCGUAGCCGGCUUAGCAAGUCUUUCGUUAAAUCCGGUGACUUAAUCAUCGGGCUGCGAGAGAUACUACUAGGCUUGAGGGCGGGAGAAGUCGACGGUAUUCCGGGGGUAGGGGUAAAAUCCUAUAAUCCUCGGAGGACCACCAGUGGCGAAGGCGGUCGACUAGAACGUGCCUGACGGUGAUGGACGAAAGCUGGGGGAGCAAACCGGAUUAGACACCCGGGUAGUCCCAGCCGUAAACGAUGCGAGCUAGGUGUUGGGGCAGCUACGAGCUGCUCCAGUGCCGCAGAGAAGUCAUUAAGCUCGCCGCCUGGGAAGUACGGUCGCAAGACUGAAACUUAAAGGAAAUGGCGGGGGAGCACACAAGGUGAAGCCUGCGGUUCAAUGGAUCAACGCCGGUAAUC